This 1215-nucleotide ribosomal RNA is filed under the name Triticum aestivum (bread wheat). RNAcentral describes it as "partial small subunit ribosomal RNA". The record is from RNAcentral. Lineage: Eukaryota; Viridiplantae; Streptophyta; Magnoliopsida; Poales; Poaceae.
AUGGAUGUUAAGACUGCUUUCCUAAAUGGAGAGUUGGACGAGGAAAUUUAUAUGGAACAACCAGAUGGGUUUGUACUAGAUGGUCAGGAAGGGAAAGUGUGCAAGUUGCUGAAGUCUUUGUACGGACUUAAGCAAGCACCCAAACAGUGGCAUGAGAAGUUUGAAAGAACUUUAACCGAUGCAGGCUUCGUUGUAAACGAAGCUGAUAAAUGUGUGUACUAUCGCCAUGGUGGGGGCGAAGGAGUUAUUCUUUGCUUGUAUGUUGAUGACAUACUGAUUUUCGGAACAAAUCUGAAUGUUAUUAAGGAGGUCAAGGAUUUCCUAUCUCGUUGUUUUGAGAUGAAGGAUUUAGGAGUGGCUGAUGUCAUUUUGAACAUCAAGUUGUUGAGAGACGAUGAUGGUGGGAUUACAUUGCUUCAAUCACACUAUGUGGAAAAGAUCUUGAGUCGCUUUGGCUAUAGUGACUGCAAGCCCUCUCCAACACCAUAUGAUGCGAGUGUGUUACUUCGAAAGAAUCGAAUAAUUGCUAGAGAUCAAUUGAAAUAUUCUCAGAUUAUUGGCUCGCUUAUGUACUUAGCCAGUGCUACAAGACCUGACAUCUCUUUUGCUGUUAGCAAACUGAGUCGGUUUAUCUCAAAACCAGGAGAUGUGCAUUGGAAAGCUCUAGAAAAAGUUUUGCGUUAUUUGAAAGGCACUGCGAAUUAUGGAAUUCACUACACUGGGCACCCAAAGGUGCUUGAAGGGUAUAGUGACUCAAACUGGAUCUCAGAUGCUGAUGAGAUAAAGGCCACGAGCGGUUAUGUAUUCACUCAUGAAGGUGGCGCUGUUUCUUGGAAGUCUUGCAAGCAAACCAUCUUAACGAGGUCAACAAUGGAAGCAGAACUCACAGCACUAGAUACAGCUACGGUCGAAGCAGAUUGGCUUCGCCGGCUCUUGAAUGACUUGCCGGUUGUUGAGAAACCUGUACCGGGUAUCCUUAUGAACUGCGACAAUCAAACUGUGAUCACGAAAGUGAGCAGCUCAAAGGAUAACAUGAAGUCAUCAAGACAUGUUCAGAGAAGGUUGAAGUCUGUCAGGAAAAUGAGAAAUUCUGGAGUUAUUGCAUUGGAUUAUAUCCAAACGUCUAAAAAUCUGGCAGAUCCUUUUAUUAAGGGUCUAUCACGUAAUGUGAUAGAUAAUGCAUCGAGGGAGAUGGGUAUGAGACCCACAAUAUGA